AUGUCCGGCCUGAGCGCGCCGCCGUUCGACGGCCUCGCGUCGGGGCCCGAUCCGUGGGACGUCGUCGUCAAGGUCAAAUAUGGUGACACACUUAAGAGGUUCAAUGGUUAUGUCAACGGAACGCACUUCACUUUGAAUCUGUCUGCUCUCCGUUCCAAAAUUGCAAGUGCUUUUAAGUUUGCCCCUGAUGCUGACUUCAUUCUCACUUACACUGAUGAGGAUGGGGAUGUUGUUAUGCUGGAUGAUGACGAGGACUUGCAUGAUGCAGCUAUCCAUCAGAAAUUGAACCCUCUAAGGAUUAAUGUUCAGUUAAAGAAUAGCCACGCUGGGGCAUCUCACAUUAACCGGCAGGAUUCAAGCCCUAAACCUCUUGAGGCCACCACUCAGGAUCCGAUAGCUCAGAUCAAAUCUGUUAUUGAUGAAGCUUUAAAGCCCAUAUCAGAACCUUUGAGAUCCACUGCAAGGGAAGAUCCACUAGCUCACUUAAAAUCAGCUCUUGAUGAAGCUAUGAAGUCUAUCCAUGAGCCAGUUCCUGAAUCCCUUGCAAAACUGUCACGUGAAGUACUUGAUGCAGCACCACCACAAUUAACUGAUCUGAUAAAACCUUUCGUGAACUUGAUCACAUCAACCAACAGUAGCCAAUCUGCUGGGCAUGCUGAGAGUUCACCUGGCUCCUCCAGGGGUGUGCAGCAAGCACGGGUUGAUCUCAAAGCUGAUGGUCAGCCUAAAGUUGAGGCAAGUUUGGGUUCACGACCUUUGAAUGAACGAAACCCUGUAUCAUCUGAGACAGGAGGUCUUAAGAGUGUGUUGGUUGAAGUUCCCGCUGCAGUCAUCACUGAAGCCUCUCAAGGCCACCAAGGAUCGUUAUAUCCUUCUGUUGAGGAUUUGCUGUACACCUCCAAUUCCGGUGGUAACAGUUCUGGUUGCAAGGAUAUGACUGAUGCUCAAAGUAAGGGGAAGUCUGUCAUGCCCUCUGCUGAACCACUCGCUCGUAACACUGUUCCCAGUUUUCGUCCAAGUCAUCCAAAUGCAUCUGGAAAUGAAUGGUUCCAGACACGAAGAUCGGUGGAUGGAUGGUCCCAGCCGAGAUCCAUUUGGCAACCUGAAACUAAUGUCAAACCAGCUAGUGAUCCUGGAUGGCGUGUUCCAAUGUAUAAAGCGCCUCACCCAUCCCCACCAGUUCCCCAUGCACCCUUGGGCUAUGGACAUUCUCCACAAUUUCCUUACCCUGGCCGUCUGCUAUCUGCUGGGCGUCUGUAUGGGAAUCUUGGUAAUAACAGUGAGAGGUCACCACGAAUUUCACAUAGGUGGAUUCAGUGUGAUGGUUGUGGAGUUCAACCAAUUGUUGGGCCACGCUACAAGUCUAAUGUGAAAGAAGAUUAUGAUCUGUGUGAUACCUGCUUCUGUCGUAUGGGCAGUGAGGUUGAGUACACAAGAAUAGACAAGCCGAUCCUGCCACACAAGUUAUCUCGGGACCCUAAUUUGUGCCGGAAAAUCCAUUCACGUGCUCCAAUGAAGUCAAAGCGUGAGAAGCUCGAAAGCCGCUUCAUUUUGGAUGUAACGGUGCUGGAUGGCACACUUAUGUCACCUUCAAGCCCGUUCACUAAGAUUUGGCGCAUGCACAACAAUGGGUCUAUCAUGUGGCCCUUGGGCACACAGCUAAUUUGGGUGGGUGGAGAUCAAUUUGCACUGCAGACCUCUGUCCCACUAGAGAUUCCAUUGAAUGGAUUUCCGGUGGAUCAAGAGAUGGAUGUUGCUGUUGAUUUUGUGGCACCUGCAAGGCCUGGGAGGUAUAUAUCUUACUGGAGACUGGCAUCACCUUCUGGUCAAAAAUUUGGUCAGCGAGUUUGGGUUCAUAUCCAGGUGGAAGAUCCAUCUUUUGUCAGUGACAACAAGACUGCUGCUGUUAACUUGAAUCAGCCUCAGGAAAGCAACAUCACAAACACAAGUAGUCUGCCUCAGGAAAGCAACAUGACAAACACAAGUAAUUUGAUUGAUGUCAACAUGGAGCCUGCUAACCAAGUCCUAGAUGAACAUGUCAACGGCACUAGAAUGGAACUGCUGGAGCCUUCGAUAUACCGUGAAGCUGCUGAGCCCAAGAAAUCCCCCUCAGCAUUUUCAGCAGCUCCUCCAUACCCCAUGGUCGAUGUUCCGUCAUCCAGUGAAAAUGCAGCUGCUUUUGUGCCAAGUGUUACUGUACUUGCACCUGAAGUCAUUCCGAGACCUGCUGUGACUACACCUGCUGAUGUGCCCACAAGUUCGCUUACUAGUAUCCCUGUGGAUCUACCUGUAGCUGCAACCACACCUGUGGAUGUAGCAUCUGCGCCGCUUGACAUCGACAGUCUUACAGAAGAGAAACUGCUGCAGGAGCUGGAGGAAAUGGGCUUUAAGCAGGUUGAUCUGAACAAGGAGAUACUGAGGCAGAAUAAAUACAACCUGGAGCAGUCCGUGGAUGAUCUGUGUGGUGUCAAUGAAUGGGACCCUCUGCUGGCGGAACUGAAUGAAAUGGGAUUUGAUGACAGGGAGACGAACAAGGAGCUGCUUGCCAAGAAUGGAGGAAGCAUCAAACGAGCUGUGAUGGACCUCAUCGCCAGGGAGAAGAAGGACAAGUGA
RNAcentral lists this ribosomal RNA (2613 nucleotides) under Triticum aestivum (bread wheat). Its description in RNAcentral is "partial small subunit ribosomal RNA". Lineage: Eukaryota; Viridiplantae; Streptophyta; Magnoliopsida; Poales; Poaceae. The record is from RNAcentral.